RNAcentral lists this ribosomal RNA (823 nucleotides) under uncultured bacterium. RNAcentral's name for it is "bacterial SSU rRNA". It matches the Rfam family "Bacterial small subunit ribosomal RNA", at positions 75 to 913 of the family's 1533-position model. The record is from RNAcentral.
GGAGCUUGCUUUAUAUAACUUAGCAGCGAACGGGUGAGUAACACGUAGAUAAUCUAUCCUAUACUGGGGGAUAGCCCGAUGAAAGUUGGAUUAAUACCGCAUAUAGCUAUAUAGUUGCAUGAUUAUGUAGUGAAAGAUUUAUUGGUAUAGGAGGAGUCUGCGGCACAUUAGCUAGUAGGUGAGGUAAAGGCUUACCUAGGCGACGAUGUGUAGCCGGUCUGAGAGGAUGAACGGCCACAAUGGAACUGAGACACGGUCCAUACUCCUACGGGAGGCAGCAGUGGGGAAUAUUGCACAAUGGGGGAAACCCUGAUGCAGCAACGCCGCGUGAGUGAAGAAGGUUUUCGGAUUGUAAAGCUCUGUUAGCAGGGAAGAGGAAGGACGGUACCUGCAGAGGAAGCCACGGCUAACUACGUGCCAGCAGCCGCGGUAAUACGUAGGUGGCAAGCGUUGUUCGGAAUAACUGGGCGUAAAGGAUGCGUAGGCGGUUAAACAAGUUAUAUGUUAAAUAUAUAGGCUUAACCUGUAGAAAGCAUAUAAAACUGUUUAACUAGAGUGCAGGAGAGGUAAGUGGAAUUCCUAGUGUAGCGGUGAAAUGCGUAGAGAUUAGGAAGAACACCAGUGGCGAAGGCGACUUACUGGACUGUAACUGACGCUGAGGCAUGAGAGCAUGGGGAGCAAACAGGAUUAGAUACCCUGGUAGUCCAUGCUGUAAACGAUGGGUACUAGGUGUGGGUUGUGAAUAACAAUUCGUGCCGUCGCNAACGCAAUAAGUACCCCGCCUGAGGAGUACGANCGCAAGAUUAAAACUCAAAGGAAUUGA